Molecule: ribosomal RNA, 1237 nt
Filed under: Proteus mirabilis
Lineage: Bacteria; Pseudomonadati; Pseudomonadota; Gammaproteobacteria; Enterobacterales; Morganellaceae
Description: partial 23S ribosomal RNA
Rfam family: Bacterial large subunit ribosomal RNA
Source: RNAcentral
GGUUAAGCGAAUAAGCGUACACGGUGGAUGCCUAGGCAAUCAGAGGCGAUGAAGGACGUGCUAAUCUGCGAAAAGCGUCGGUAAGGUGAUAUGAACCGUUAUACCCGACGAUAUCCGAAUGGGGAAACCCAGUAUCCAAUGGAUACUAUCAUUAACUGAAUCCAUAGGUUAAUGAGGCGAACCGGGAGAACUGAAACAUCUCAGUACCCCGAGGAAAAGAAAUCAACCGAGAUUCCCCUAGUAGCGGCGAGCGAACGGGGAGCAGCCCAGAGUCUUAAUCAAUAGCAGUGUCAGGAGAACGGUCUGGAAAGUCCGGCAGUAAAGGGUGAUAGCCCCGUAUCUGAAGAUGCUGUUGUUGUGAACUCGACGAGUAGGGCGGGACACGUGUUAUCCUGUCUGAAUAUGGGGGGACCAUCCUCCAAGGCUAAAUACUCCUGAUUGACCGAUAGUGAACCAGUACCGUGAGGGAAAGGCGAAAAGAACCCCGGCGAGGGGAGUGAAAAAGAACCUGAAACCGUGUACGUACAAGCAGUAGGAGCCUCUUUAUGGGGUGACUGCGUACCUUUUGUAUAAUGGGUCAGCGACUUAUAUUCUGUAGCAAGGUUAACCGUAUAGGGGAGCCGUAGGGAAACCGAGUCUUAACUGGGCGAAUGAGUUGCAGGGUAUAGACCCGAAACCCGGUGAUCUAUCCAUGGGCAGGUUGAAGGUUGGGUAACACUAACUGGAGGACCGAACCGACUAAUGUUGAAAAAUUAGCGGAUGACUUGUGGAUGGGGGUGAAAGGCCAAUCAAACCGGGAGAUAGCUGGUUCUCCCCGAAAGCUAUUUAGGUAGCGCCUCGUGAACUCAUCUUCGGGGGUAGAGCACUGUUUCGACUAGGGGGUCAUCCCGACUUACCAACUCGAUGCAAACUGCGAAUACCGAAGAAUGUUAUCACGGGAGACACACGGCGGGUGCUAACGUCCGUCGUGAAGAGGGAAACAACCCAGACCGCCAGCUAAGGUCCCAAAGUCAUGGUUAAGUGGGAAACGAAGUGGGAAGGCUCAGACAGCCAGGAUGUUGGCUUAGAAGCAGCCAUCAUUUAAAGAAAGCGUAAUAGCUCACUGGUCGAGUCGGCCCGCGCGGAAGAUGUAACGGGGCUAAACCAUGCACCGAAGCUGCGGCAGCGAACGUAUCACUUAAAUUUGUUUGAGUGAAUAACGAUUGACGGAACGAAGUGACGUCAAUGCGUUAAUGAA